RNAcentral lists this ribosomal RNA (486 nucleotides) under uncultured bacterium. RNAcentral describes it as "partial 16S ribosomal RNA". It matches the Rfam family "Bacterial small subunit ribosomal RNA", at positions 30 to 507 of the family's 1533-position model. The record is from RNAcentral.
AUUGAACGCUGGCGGCAUGCCUUACACAUGCAAGUCGAACGGCAGCACGGGUGCUUGCACCUGGUGGCGAGUGGCGAACGGGUGAGUAAUACAUCGGAACAUGUCCUGGAGUGGGGGAUAGCCCGGCGAAAGCCGGAUUAAUACCGCAUACGAUCUACGGAUGAAAGCGGGGGACCUGCGGGCCUCGCUCUCUGGUGUUGGCCGAUGGCUGAUUAGCUAGUUGGUGGGGUAAAGGCCUACCAAGGCGACGAUCAGUAGCUGGUCUGAGAGGACGACCAGCCACACUGGGACUGAGACACGGCCCAGACUCCUACGGGAGGCAGCAGUGGGGAAUUUUGGACAAUGGGCGAAAGCCUGAUCCAGCAAUGCCGCGUGUGUGAAGAAGGCCUUCGGGUUGUAAAGCACUUUUGUCCGGAAAGAAAUCCUUGGCUCUAAUACAGUCGGGGGAUGACGGUACCGGAAGAAUAAGCACCGGCUAACUACGUG